UAAACUUUUCUCACACGCACAAGCUGCGGUGUUGAAUGGUGUGUCUUAGACCCGGGUGCCUAGUGUGGCUCGGUGCCUUACAAUGAAUUUGGGGAAAGAGUUGUCAAACGAAACGCAUGUUUCUAAUGACCAGCAGUCUGCAACUGUGUCUGAUGGCGAGUUGACGGGCGCCGACCUGAAGGACUGCGUCAGCAACAACAGCCUGAGCAGCAAUGCCAGCCUCCCCAGCGUGCAGAGCUGCCGGCGCCUGCGUGAGAGGAGGGUCGCCAGCUGGGCCGUGUCCUUUGAGCGCCUGCUGCAGGACCCCGUCGGUGUCCGCUACUUCUCUGAUUUUCUAAGGAAAGAAUUCAGUGAAGAAAACAUUUUAUUCUGGCAGGCCUGUGAAUAUUUUAAUCAUGUUCCUGCACAUGACAAAAAGGAGCUUUCCUACAGGGCCCGGGAGAUUUUCAGUAAGUUUCUCUGCAGCAAAGCCACCACCCCGGUCAACAUCGACAGCCAGGCCCAGCUAGCAGACGAUGUGCUCCGCGCACCUCACCCAGAUAUGUUCAAGGAGCAGCAGCUCCAGAUCUUCAAUCUCAUGAAGUUUGAUAGCUACACUCGCUUUCUGAAGUCCCCGCUGUACCAGGAAUGCAUCCUGGCGGAAGUGGAGGGCCGCGCACUGCCGGACUCGCAGCAGGUCCCCAGCAGCCCGGCUUCCAAGCACAGCCUCGGUUCAGACCACUCCAGUGUGUCCACGCCAAAAAAGUUAAGUGGAAAAUCAAAAUCCGGCCGAUCCCUGAAUGAAGAGCUGGGGGAUGAGGAGAGCGAGAAGAAGCGGAAAGGCGCGUUUUUCUCGUGGUCACGGACCAGGAGCACCGGGAGGUCCCAGAAGAAGAGGGAGCACGGGGACCACGCAGACGGUUUGUGGGGUGGCUCCUGGGCUGUGGUGUCCAGGCCAGGCAGCCGCGUCCCCGUCCUGGCGUCGCUCUGGUGGUUGGCGGUGACCUUGGGCCAUGUGUGCAGUGAGAGGCCCUGUUGGCGGGUGGAGGAAGCUUCUCUGAAUGAAUAAGGAAUGCCGCUGUGUCUGGGGACACGACCUGUCAGCCAGCCAGAGGGCAGCAGGGCUGCUCCAGAAUCUUCCAGAGAAAAGGGCUCAAUACAUUUCAGCCCAUGCCUACCUCAGGCCUACCCCACAUAGUGGCGGCUGAACAUCUGUGUCCUCUCCUGCUUUUCACUAUCCAAGUAAUAGGUGUUUUUGGUAGAAAAUUUGGAAAAUACAAUCAAGUAAAAAUAGGAACACACAAAUGUGCUAUUGGGUGUCUCCCCCAAUGGCAGCUUGGUUCUCUGCCAGGGCUUUUUCCUAGGUAGAUGUCAGGGUCCAUGUGCCUUUUACACGUGUGUGGUUUUUUAAAAUGUAGUAGCAUAGUUGGAGUAGUGAGCAUUUUUCAAGUUAAGAUUGGUAUUGGAUAUUGGGGGCUGCCCAUUCUGGAUGCUCUGUCCCUUUUUUCUUUGCACAUCUGAGACUUCCUGUAACAAAAGUUAGGCAGAGAGACGGCUCCCAGGGCACCAGGGGGUGGGGCUGCAGGGCCCUUGGCGGCUCCUAGCCGAGCUCCAGACACCAGCCGGGUGGUGUUGGCGGGUGGCAA
Molecule: small RNA, 1625 nt
Filed under: Pan troglodytes (chimpanzee)
Lineage: Eukaryota; Metazoa; Chordata; Mammalia; Primates; Hominidae
Description: retained intron
Source: RNAcentral